This 253-nucleotide ribosomal RNA is filed under the name uncultured bacterium. RNAcentral's name for it is "partial 16S ribosomal RNA". It matches the Rfam family "Bacterial small subunit ribosomal RNA", at positions 524 to 776 of the family's 1533-position model. The record is from RNAcentral.
UACAGAGGUCCCGAGCGUUGUUCGGAUUCACUGGGCGUAAAGGGUGCGUAGGUGGUGAGGAAAGUCGGAUGUGAAAUCUCCGGGCUUAACCCGGAAACUGCAUUGGAAACUGCCUUGCUAGAGGUUUUGAGGGGGGACUGGAAUUCUCGGUGUAGCAGUGAAAUGCGUAGAUAUCGAGAGGAACACCAGUGGCGAAGGCGAGUCCCUGGAAAACACCUGACACUGAGGCACGAAAGCUAGGGGAGCAAACAGG